CCAGCAGCUGGUUUCGCCAUUUGGAAAGACUGCAACUGCCUCUGUACUGCACGAGACUGUCGAAUACAUUAAAUACCUUCAUGAUCAGGUCAAUGUCUUAAGCACGCCAUAUUGGAGAAAUACGCGUCCCAUGCAGCAAGAGAAGGUAGAUGUCCUUACAUGGAUUUGAAUAACAUAUAU
Long non-coding RNA from Phalaenopsis equestris, 180 nucleotides. RefSeq lists it as uncharacterized. NCBI's taxonomy places the organism in Eukaryota, Viridiplantae, Streptophyta, Magnoliopsida, Asparagales, Orchidaceae. The transcript is spliced from 3 exons. The record is from RefSeq and is a predicted model, not a curated record.